CCUACGGGUGGCAGCAGUGGGGGAUAUUGCACAAUGGGGGGAACCCUGAUGCAGCGACGCCGCGUGGGUGAAGAAGCGCCUCGGCGCGUAAAGCUCUGUCAGCCGGGAAGAAAAUGACGGUACCUGAAGAAGAAGCCCCGGCUAACUACGUGCCAGCAGCCGCGGUAAUACGUAGGGGGCAAGCGUUAUCCGGAUUUACUGGGUGUAAAGGGGGCGUAGACGGCGCUGCAAGCCAGGUGUGAAAUGUCGGGGCCCAACCCCGGGACUGCACUGGGAACUGGGUGGCUGGAGUGCAGGAGGGGCAGGCGGAAUUCCUGGUGGAGCGGUGAAAUGCGUAGAGAUCAGGAGGAACACCGGUGGCGAAGGCGGCCUGCUGGACUGCAACUGACGUUGAGGCCCGAAAGCGUGGGGAGCAAACAGGAUUAGAUACCCUAGUAGUC
RNAcentral lists this ribosomal RNA (440 nucleotides) under uncultured bacterium. Its description in RNAcentral is "partial 16S ribosomal RNA". It matches the Rfam family "Bacterial small subunit ribosomal RNA", at positions 338 to 795 of the family's 1533-position model. The record is from RNAcentral.